Molecule: long non-coding RNA, 357 nt
Filed under: Mytilus galloprovincialis (Mediterranean mussel)
Lineage: Eukaryota; Metazoa; Mollusca; Bivalvia; Mytilida; Mytilidae
Source: RNAcentral
GAUAAACAGUAAACAGCAAAAAUGUUCAGCAAAGUAAGAUCUACAAAUAAGUCAACAUGACCAAAAUUGUCAGUUUACCCCUUAAGGAGUAAUUGCCCUUUAUAGUCAGUUUUUAACAAUUUUCAUAAAUUUUUGUAAAUUUUUAGAAUAUAUUUUUCAGUGUUAUUAUUGGGCCAAGUUCAUUAUAGAUAGAGAUAAUUGUAGCAAGAAGAAUGUCCAGUAAAGUAAGAUCUACAAACACAUCAUGAUCACCAAAACACAAUUUUGUCAUAAAUUUAUCUGUGUCCAUUGUUUAAUAUGCACAUAGACCAAGGUGAGCGACACAGGCUCUUGAGAGCCUCUAGUUUUUAGACAAAA